GAUUUCUGGUACGGCGCGCUUGGCCCGCCAGGGUUACCUGGUUGUGUGCUGGUGCGCGCCUGCCAUCCUUUUGCAUUUCAGUUCUAUCCUUUACUGGUGUGUAACUGGUUUGCAAAUCUUUUACUUUGAAAAAAUUAGAGUGUUUAAAGCAGGCUUUUGCUAUGAAUACAUUAGCAUGGAAUAAUAAUCUAGGACUUCGGUUCUAUUUUGUUGGUUUCUAUAACUGAAGUAAUGAUUGAUAGGGAUAGUUGGGGGUGCUAGUAUUGGCCGGCCAGAGGUGAAAUUCUUGGAUUCGGUCAAGACUAACUUAUGCGAAAGCAUU
Molecule: ribosomal RNA, 322 nt
Filed under: Cercomonas sp.
Lineage: Eukaryota; Cercozoa; Cercomonadida; Cercomonadidae
Description: SSU rRNA
Rfam family: Eukaryotic small subunit ribosomal RNA (bases 105-322)
Source: RNAcentral